Molecule: unclassified non-coding RNA, 643 nt
Filed under: Leishmania donovani
Lineage: Eukaryota; Euglenozoa; Kinetoplastea; Trypanosomatida; Trypanosomatidae
Description: gene:unknown
Source: RNAcentral
UGCCUCAUAAUGUCUCACGAGUCGCCUGUUGCGGUGCUAUGGGGAAAGUUGCUAGAGGCAGCGGCGGCGGUGGCUCCGCCAUCGGCGUCGGUUUCUCGCGGCCACCGGCAUCGAUGUCGCGCGCGACGGCAACAGCGCAGUUCACCGCAUUUCUCCGCGUACGCGUCAAAGCAGUGCCCGGGGCACUUCUGGUGUGCAGUCCCGUGCCGCCCAGAGCGGGCAGCGGUCAAAAAACGACAGAAGAAGGUAACCUUCUCGCCCAUUGUGUCGGUGGUGGAGUUCACCGUCGUACCCGUUCGCUAGCACGUGUGGGUGAAGGUCGAGCACGUGCAUUUUGGUAAAAAAAAAUGAAGAGAAAGAGAAGAGACGCUAGUGUCCAUCCACGGUGUGCGCAUCGUCGCACGCGCACCCCUCACGUUCCUCUCCUCGGGUUUGAAGCACAACGGCGGGAGGAAGGCGGUGCACAAAGAAAACGGAUUCCAUCCCAUCAGCCACUCGUGCUGGCAGACAAUGCAUCAGGCGUAUUUUUGAUUGCGUCCAUGAUGGUGCCCACUCACCCCUCUUACCUUCCCUCCCCGUCUUCCUCCCUCUUCCACCUUAUUCUUCUCCCUCUCCGACAUCCGUUCGCGCUGCGUCGGGGCAG